UACAGAGGGUGCAAACGUUGCUCGGAUUUACUGGGCGUAAAGCGCGUGUAGGCGGGUUCAUAAGUCGGACGUGAAAGCCCUGGGCUCAACCCAGGAACUGCGUUCGAAACUGCGAACCUUGAGUAGUGGAGAGGAAAGUAGAAUUCCCGGUGUAGAGGUGAAAUUCGUAGAUAUCGGGAGGAAUACCAGUGGCGAAGGCGGCUUUCUGGACACUUACUGACGCUGAGACGCGAAAGCGUGGGGAGCAAACAGG
Molecule: ribosomal RNA, 253 nt
Filed under: uncultured bacterium
Lineage: Bacteria
Description: partial 16S ribosomal RNA
Rfam family: Bacterial small subunit ribosomal RNA
Source: RNAcentral